RNAcentral lists this ribosomal RNA (452 nucleotides) under uncultured bacterium. Its description in RNAcentral is "partial 16S ribosomal RNA". It matches the Rfam family "Bacterial small subunit ribosomal RNA", at positions 28 to 507 of the family's 1533-position model. The record is from RNAcentral.
GAUGAACGCUGGCGGCGUGCCUAACACAUGCAAGUCGAGCGAUUCUCUUCGGAGAAGAGCGGCGGACGGGUGAGUAACGCGUGGGUAACCUGCCCUGUAUACACGGAUAACAUACCGAAAGGUAUGCUAAUACGAGAUAAUAUGCUUUUAUCGCAUGGUAGAAGUAUCAAAGCUUUUGCGGUACAGGAUGGACCCGCGUCUGAUUAGCUAGUUGGUAAGGUAACGGCUUACCAAGGCGACGAUCAGUAGCCGACCUGAGAGGGUGAUCGGCCACAUUGGAACUGAGACACGGUCCAAACUCCUACGGGAGGCAGCAGUGGGGAAUAUUGCACAAUGGGCGAAAGCCUGAUGCAGCAACGCCGCGUGAGCGAUGAAGGCCUUCGGGUCGUAAAGUUCUGUCCUCAAGGAAGAUAAUGACGGUACUUGAGGAGGAAGCCCCGGCUAACUACGUG